Pangasius djambal is the source of this 72-nucleotide non-coding RNA. Lineage: Eukaryota; Metazoa; Chordata; Actinopteri; Siluriformes; Pangasiidae. The record is from the annotation of a GenBank genome assembly.
UCCCUGGAGGACUAGUGGUUAGGCCACAGCGCUAUCACCGCUGCAGACCGGGAUUGAUUCCCGGCCAGGGAA